RNAcentral lists this ribosomal RNA (153 nucleotides) under Beauveria bassiana. Its description in RNAcentral is "5.8S ribosomal RNA". It matches the Rfam family "5.8S ribosomal RNA". From Rfam's summary of the family: 5.8S ribosomal RNA (5.8S rRNA) is a component of the large subunit of the eukaryotic ribosome. It is transcribed by RNA polymerase I as part of the 45S precursor that also contains 18S and 28S rRNA. The record is from RNAcentral. RNAcentral also lists the same sequence under 1 other name. Lineage: Eukaryota; Fungi; Ascomycota; Sordariomycetes; Hypocreales; Cordycipitaceae.
CAAAACUUUCAACAACGGAUCUCUUGGCUCUGGCAUCGAUGAAGAACGCAGCGAAACGCGAUAAGUAAUGUGAAUUGCAGAAUCCAGUGAAUCAUCGAAUCUUUGAACGCACAUUGCGCCCGCCAGCAUUCUGGCGGGCAUGCCUGUUCGAGC